GGAAUUGACGGGGCCGCACAAGCGGUGGAGUAUGUGGUUUAAUUCGAUGCAACGCGAAGAACCUUACCUGGUCUUGACAUCCCGGAGACCCUUAGGAACUAGGGGUGCUUCCAUCUGGAAGAAUCUGGAGACAGGUGCUGCAUGGCUGUCGUCAGCUCGUGUCGUGAGAUGUUGGGUUAAGUCCCGCAACGAGCGCAACCCUUGCCUUUAGUUGCCAGCAGUUCGGCUGGGCACUCUAAAGGGACUGCCGGUGUUAAACCGGAGGAAGGUGGGGAUGACGUCAAGUCCUCAUGGCCUUUAUGACCAGGGCUACACACGUACUACAAUGGCCGAUACAAAGGGCAGCGACACUGCGAGGUGAAGCCAAUCCCGUAAAAUCGGUCUCAGUCCGGAUUGGAGUCUGCAACUCGACUCCAUGAAGUUGGAAUCGCUAGUAAUCGUGGAUCAGCAUGCCACGGUGAAUACGUUCCCGGGCCUU
This 478-nucleotide ribosomal RNA is filed under the name uncultured Desulfobulbus sp. RNAcentral describes it as "bacterial SSU rRNA". It matches the Rfam family "Bacterial small subunit ribosomal RNA", at positions 906 to 1382 of the family's 1533-position model. The record is from RNAcentral. Lineage: Bacteria; Pseudomonadati; Thermodesulfobacteriota; Desulfobulbia; Desulfobulbales; Desulfobulbaceae.